GACGAACGCUGGCGGCGUGCCUAAUACAUGCAAGUAGAACGCUGAAGCUUGGUGCUUGCACCGAGCGGAUGAGUUGCGAACGGGUGAGUAACGCGUAGGUAACCUGCCUGGUAGCGGGGGAUAACUAUUGGAAACGAUAGCUAAUACCGCAUAAGAGUAGAUGUUGCAUGACAUUUGCUUAAAAGGUGCAAUUGCAUCACUACCAGAUGGACCUGCGUUGUAUUAGCUAGUUGGUGAGGUAACGGCUCACCAAGGGAACGAUACAUAGCCGACCUGAGAGGGUGGUCGGCCACACUGGGACUGAGACACGGCCCAGACUACUACGGGAGGCAGCAGUAGGGAAUCUUCGGCAAUGGACGGAAGUCUGACCGAGCAACGCCGCGGGAGUGAAGAAGGGUUUCGGAUCGUAAAGCUCUGUUGUAAGAGAAGAACGAGUGUGAGAGUGGAAAGUUCACACUGUGACGGUACCUUAACAGAAAGGGACGGCUAACUACGUG
RNAcentral lists this ribosomal RNA (497 nucleotides) under uncultured bacterium. Its description in RNAcentral is "partial 16S ribosomal RNA". It matches the Rfam family "Bacterial small subunit ribosomal RNA", at positions 28 to 507 of the family's 1533-position model. The record is from RNAcentral.